Molecule: long non-coding RNA, 43158 nt
Filed under: Lathyrus oleraceus (garden pea)
Lineage: Eukaryota; Viridiplantae; Streptophyta; Magnoliopsida; Fabales; Fabaceae
Description: Pisum sativum (pea) long non-coding RNA (PSAT_LNC003508)
Source: RNAcentral
GUGCAUGUGCAUUGGUGUAUGCGCCAAUUCAUCUGGCGCAUACACCUAAAUUGUUUUUUUUAAUGGUUUAUUUAACAAUUAAUUAAAUAAAAUAUUUAAAAAAAUUAUUUAUGUUAUAACAAAAAUUACAUGGAAUUGAUAAAAAAAUUCAAUGACCGGCCUGAUCGAAACGUCCCCCUGUUCCACAUCCAGGUGCGUUAGUCUGUCUUCGAGGUCUCCCACGAUUUUCCUGAGGUGUUUGGGAUCUUUGAGUGCUGACAUGACCCAGUGGUGGCUGGUGUGAAGGUUCGGUGAAAGGUCCAACGGUAUUUGAUAGAUGUGUCAUCAUUUGUUCCCAAUAGUCGGGGGGCUCUGGCCAACGGCGCUUUCGUAAUGGAGUUCGGUGCCCAUGUUAUCGUAGUUGGGUCGAUGUGGUUGGGUGAAUUGUGGACAAUAUAGUUGCCUGAAUUAGGAUAUUGAAUCAUUUUGGAAAUGAAGCAAUGGUUCCUGAGGUGUACUAUAGUUAAACAAUGGUUGGGUGUUUUGGUGAUGAGAUGUUUAGGUGAUCAUUGAAAGGGGGCUACGAUGAAGUGAACCGUAUGAAUCAUCUGACCUAUAGACUGUUGUGGUGGCUGCGUAUGAUUGUUGGUGGGUAGGGUUUGAUUCUUGGUUUUAAGGUUGGGUGUGUGGCAUGAAUGAGUUGUGAGGUUGGGUGUUUGGUUGUUGGGUGUAUGUGGUAGGGUGAUGGUGUGAAGUUGGUUGUUGGGUUUGGGUGGUUUGACAUUGGUGUUGGACGGGGACUUGUUGUUGGGCGUAUGAUGACGAAACUAGUUGGCGUGGAUCAAUCAAAUACCUUGGCUCAGACACAAAUUGUUGCGUUGUAACCGACCUAAACCAUACCAUAUAUUGUUGAGUAGGUCUAGCACCCUGUAUGACUGGUUCGCUUAAGAUGUGUUGUCGUCGAUUCCUCCAAUGACGAUACAUCUCUUUCACAUGGAACUAUCAGUUUAUUGUAAAGUUGAUAGAACUAAUGCAUUGAGGUAUAAAAUUUAUUGUAGAAACGAGCACUGCCUUUUCAGGUUGUCAGCUUCGUAUAGGAAGAUAAGUGAUUCUUGGGAGAUCGGAUCCAUGAACUCAAUGCAAGACCAUUGAAAACUUAGCUCUCAGUUAAUAUGCGAUGAAAUUUUGUUUGUCAUUAGCGACAAUCCUUCAUUAAAGGUGAGUACAAUAAUCUCGCAUAUUGUAGCACAAUACAAAUAUACCCCAUCAUAUAGGAAGACUUGGAUAGUUAGGACAAAGAUGGUUGAAAAAGUGUAUGGCAAUUGGGAGGAGUCUUAUAAACAACUUCCAAAAUACUUGUUGGCUCUUAAACAGUAUGCUCCAGGGACUAUUGUCAAGUUGGAAACGUUGUCGACGUAUACAUCGGACGAGACUUGUGCUAUUGGAAAUUGAAUAUUUCACCGUCUCUUUUGGACGUAUCAACCAUGCAUCAAAGGUUUUUCUUUUUGUAAAUCUAUUAUACAAAUUGAUGGUAUAUGGUUGUAUGGGAAAUAUAAAUGAACGUUACUGAUGGCAGUGGCACAAGAUGGCAACAUCAACAUUUUUCCAAUCGCCUUUGCCCUUGUUGAAGGGGAGACUGCUGAUGGAUGAAGUUUUUUCCUAAGAAAUCUCUGAUUCCACGUUGUUCAUCAAUCUAACUUAUGUUUGAUCUCCGAUCGACACCCUUCAAUAGUAAGUGCAUGCAACCGAUGAAAAAGAUUCAUGGGAGAAGUACAUAGAUUCAUUGGAGUUAUAUUCAUUUUAGAAUGUAGAAUACAAUUAUACACGUUUUCAUUGUAUGGAUUCAAGUUUAAGAUAAUAUCAUCUAUUAUGCUCUUUGUAAUUUGAUAUAUAUUCUGGCAUUCUGUUUCUUACUUUCGUUUACUAAUAGUAUACGAAACCAAUGUUUUAAAAUUGUGGCAUUCUAUUUCUUACUUUCGUUUAUUAAUAGUAUACGAAACCAAUGUUUUAAAACUCUGGCAUUCUAUUUCUUACUUUCGUUUACUAAUAGUAUGCGAAACCAAUGUUUUAAAGAUUCGGUCAAACUACAAAUAAUUAUGUUAUUGAUAGGAUCAAUGGAUCACUUUUCGGACACAUGAAUUUUAAUAAUGUAAAAAUAUAACUUUUUUUUUGAUAAUAUGAUUUUUUUUAAAAAACUUUUGUUAAUUUAAAAUAUUACUAUAUUAUAUAAUUAAUUGCCUAACAUUUUAAACUUAUUAUAUUUUUAUAUUGAAUGAUUAAUAAUAAGUUAAGUUUAAUGAAAAUUAUAAUGUUAUAAUUAUAGAAUAUAUAACUCUCUUCGCAUUAAUUAAAUUAAACAUCAAAGAGAUUCAUAGUGCAAUUGAUAAAAUUACAAUCCUAAUAAUUUUGAAAGGUUACAAGUCCGAUUCUUAAAAUUUGACAAAAUUUUAUUUUUAGAAUUUUAAUAUUAUUUAGUUAUUAAUAACAUAAUUAUAAAUAUUAAUAAAAUCAAAUUUAAAAACAAGAGCCCAAAUUUUAAGAAAAGUGAAAAUAUGAGAUAAAAAUUAUAAUUAAGCUAAAAAAUAAUAAACUUAAAAAGAUUAAUUUGCCGUAUCAAGAAACUCAUCGGUUCACUAGUUUGACUAGUGAACCGGUUGGAUCACACCGGUUUUCACCUGGUCAAUUACAGUUAUGGUUUAAUUGUUAUAAGUAAUUCAUAUUCAGAAGUAGUAUUGUUAAUCAGAAGCAGGAGCUUCUAAUGUGGUUGUUACAGAAGUAGUGUUUAGCUUUUAGUUGUAGUUGAUUUUAAGUUUUUCAUAAGGUGCAUUACUCAGCUAGCAUAGAUUAGCAUUUUGCCUACGUGUCAUUUUUGUUUGUGUAUAUAAAUCAAACGUGUAAUAGAAUUUCAUAAUGCAAUCAAUAGAGUUUCUCUCAAAAGUUAGUUAGAUAUCUCUCUCUCUCUCUCUCUCUCUCUCUCUCUCUCUCUCUCUCUCUCUCUCUCUAUAUAUAUAUAUAUAUAUAUAUCAAUCUUCAUCUUCAACCUUGUGCACCAAAAAUUGGUAUCUAGAGCUCCGAUUCGAUUCACAGGGAAACACGAGUGUAUUCUAUAUAUAUAUAUAUAUAUAUAUCAAUCUUCAUCUUCAACCUUGUGCACCAAAAAUUGGUAUCUAGAGCUCCGAUUCGAUUCACAGGGAAACACGAGUGUACGGUCAUGCGUGUGUGAUUGAUUUCAUUUCUUGAAUUCUGAAUUCAUGACCGGAAUCUUAACAGAAUCAUAUUUCUUGAAUUUGAGGGAUUGGGAAACACGAGUGUUUGGUGAGAUUUGUGUGAGUUUCAGUGCACAAAAUUGAAGAUGAACGGCGAAAAUGGUAGCUUGAAUACAAAGCUUCCAGUGUUUGAUUGAAAGAGUUGGAAUCAGUGGUGGAUUCAUAUGUGUGUGUUGUUUGGCGCUCAAGACAUUCUUGAUCUCGCCAACGACAAUUAUGUUCUGGUUGCGAAGGAUGUGAUAGAAGCACAAAGAAAUGUGUAAAUAGAAAUGAGGAAGAUAGAUUAAAAGGCGUUGUUCUAAAUCCAUUAGUGUAUGGAUGCGAACGUGUUUGAGAAAAUUGUUGAUUCGACGACGCCGAAAGCUGCGUGGGACACACUGGUACAGUGCUACAGCGGUGAUGCAUAAGUGAAGAAGGUAAAGCUUCAGUCUCUACGUAAACAGUAUGAGAAUCUCGACAUGAAGAGCAAUGAGCAGAUACCUGAUUAUAUCUCUAGAGUGAUUCUGAUCACCAAUGAAGUGAAAUCUUAUGGAGAAACUUUGUUAGAACAAGUAAUCUUUGAAAAGGUAAUGAGAUCUCUUACUCCUCAAUUUGAUUACAUUGUUGUAGCAAUUGAACAUUCUAAAUACCCCAUCACCAUAAGGAUUGAAGAGCUACAUAGCAGUUUAGAGGCACAAGAGUUGCGUCUGACUGUGAGAACCUCUGAAAGAGAGGUAGAGCAGGCUCUGAAGGCGUCUUGGUCAGAAGCUAAGAAGAGACACGGUGGUGGUUUUAGAAGUCAGAAGCCUCCAAUUCUGGUGAGAAGAAACAUCAUAAGGGAAAGGAGAAGUUUGACAAGAAGAAUGUUCAAUGUUACUGUUGUAAGAAGUUUGGCCACUUUGCUGCUGACUGUUGGUCAAACAAGGAAAGGAAAUCAAAAGAAACAAACAUAGUCAAAGAAGAUUCUGAUGAUGAACUUGUGUUAUUGAUGGCUUCUAAAUUUGAUGGUGCGUAUUUGGUAGACUAGUGGUAUAUGGACACUAGCUGCUCAAAUCACCUAUCUGGAAACAAACAAUGGCUGGUUGAUUUUGACUCCAAAAAUAUGAUAAAGAUCAGAUGUGCUGAUGAUAAAUACCUUAAUGCUGAAGGUAUGAGAAAUGUCAAAGUCAAGGUGAAGAAUGGUAAAAUUGUUCUGAUCAAGGAUGUUUGGUAUGUUCUUGGCAUGAAGAGCAAUCUUAAGAAUGUAAGUUAGCUCAUUGAGAAAUGUUUCUCAGUUACUAUGAAGAACAAUCUCUUGAAGUUGUAUGGUUCUGAUCAGAAUCUAAUUAUGCAAUCUAAGCAGGGAAGUAACAGAACAUUCAAGGCGAAUGUGGAGAAAACUGAAACUACAUUCCUUGGUGUAGAAGACACUAAAGGUGAGAGUGAGUUGUGGCACAAGAGAUUAGAGCAUCUUAAAUUUAGAAGCUUAUGGCAUAUGAAUUCUAAGAAGCUGGUAUAUGGCAUUCCCAAGAUUGUGAAGCCUGAGAAUUCAUGUGAGAUAUGCAUGAAAGGCAAGCAACCUAGAUUGUCAUUUGCAUCAGAAGUAGCCAUGAGAGAAAACAUGCUUUGGGAGUAGUACACUUUGAUGUUUGUGGAUCAUUUGAAGUACCUUCACUUGGAGGAAACAAAUAUUUUGUGUCAUUUGUGGAUGACUUUACAGUAAUUACAUGGGUAGCACUCAUCAAGUUUAAGCAUGAGAUGUUUGCUGAGUUUCAGAAGUUCAAGGUGAAGGCUGAAAAACAUAGUGGUCAGAAGUUGAAAGUUCUCAUAACUAACGAUAAAGGUGGGUAUAACUCUACAGAGUUCAGAAAGUUUUGUAUGGAAAAUGAAAUUGAGCAUGAGGUGGCAACUCUAUACACUCCUCAACACAAUGGUCUUGUUGAAAGAAGAAAUCAAACUUUUCUUGAUAUGAGAAGGAGCAUGUUGAAGGAGAAAAAGCUUCCUCAUACCUUGUGGGAGAAGUUGUUGCCACUGCAACAUAUAUGCUCAACAUGUGUCCAAUAAAGAAGCUGAAGGAAACUGCUCCUUUUGAGAAGUGGACUGGUGAUAAGCAAAGUGUGAGUCAUUUUAGGAUAUUCGGUUCUGUUUGUUACAAACAUGUUCCAGGUGCUACUAGAAAGAAGUUGGAUGAUAGAAGUAAAGUAAUGUUACUGAUUGGGUAAUACAGUACAGAUGCGUAUAAGCUUUAUUGUCCAGUCACUAAUAAGGUGGAAUUAGCAGAAAUGUUGUUGUGAAAGAAUCAUAAGCAUGGGAUUGAAAUGAGUCUCAAUCCAAUGUUAGUGCAAUGUUAACACAUGAGUUAACUUCUGAAUAGAUUUAUGACUCUAAAGGAGAAUAUGCUUCUGAAGGGGAUUCUGCCUCUGAAGAUGAGUCAGAGUCUGAUGGUGAUUCUGAGCCUGAAGGUGAGUCAGAGUCUGAUAGUAACUCUAAAUUUGAAGAAGACUCAGAAGGUGAAUCUGAUGAUGAUUCAGAUUCUGGUGGUAAUCCAACCUCUGACGGUGGUCAUGCCUCUAAAGGUGGACCUUCUGAAGGUGGUUCAGCCUCCGAAACCAGGCCACGGAGAAUCGUCAGAUACCACAGAUAUUUGCAGAGUUUGACAUGUUGCAAAAUACUGAGAUAGACUCUAAAGAGGAAGUUAUUUAGUGUGUCAUGUUAGUAGACUCUGAACCAGUUAGUAUUGAAGAAACUCUCAAGAAGAAAGUGUGGAUGAAGUCCAUGGAAAAAAACUUAAGGCUAUAGAAAGAAACAAUACUUGGGAUUUGACUGAGCUUCCAAAGGAGAAGAAAGUCAUCAGCGUCAGAUAGGUUUUCAAGGUGAAGUUAAAGCCAAAUAGAUCAAUUGGAAAACACAAAGAAAGGUUAGUAGAAAGAGGAUUUCUCUUGAAACCUGGAUUAUAUUAUUUUGAAGUGUUUGCACCUGUAGCUAGACAUGAAACAGUCAGAUUGGUGAUUGUUAUAGCUGCUAAUAGAAAUUGGUCUCUAAUACAUCUGGAUGUGAAAUCCUUCUUUUUGAAUGUUCCAUUGCAAGAAGAGGUAUACGUGUCACAACCUCCUGGAUUUAUUAAAAAGAAUCAGAAAGGGAUGGUGUAGAGGUUACAUAAAGCGUUGUAUGGACUGAAACAAGCUCUGAGAGCUUGAAAUCUGAAAAAUUGAUUCAUUUUUCAAGCUCCAAGGAUUCUAAAAGUGUGAGAUAGAGUAUGGAGUUUAUGUCCAACGUAUUUCUGAAGGCAAUAUGAUUUUGGUGUGCCUUUAUGUUGAUGACAUAUUGCUAACAGGAAGUUAUUCAGAUGAGUUAUUCAAGUUCAAGAAGGUGCGGAUGAAUGAGUUUGAGAUGACUGAUCUGGGAAAUAUGGUAUAUUUUCUAGGAAUGGAGAUUUUGUACUCUGAGAAAGGUAUCAUUUUGCAUCAGCUGAAGUAUGAACGUGAUAUUAUGAAGAGAUUUAAGCUAACAAAUUGUAAGACUGCAAUCACGCCUGCUGAGACGAAUCACAAGUUGGAUUCUGAUGUUGAGGGUGAUGAUGUAGAUGCUAUAACUUUUAAACAAUCGGUUGGCUCAUUGAGGUAUUUGUCUAACAUCAGACCUGAUAUAUGUUAUGCAGUUGGAAUGGUAAGUAGGUUUAUGAACAAACCAAAGUGAUCACAUUACCAAGUUGCUGUCAGGAUUCUGAGGUAUAUUAAGGGGACUUUGAAGUAUGUAGUAUUGUUUCCUUCUGGUGUUAAAUCUGAUUCAGAGCUGAUAUGUUAUUCAAACUCUGAUUGGUGUGGAGACAAAUUUGACAAAAGAAGUACUUCUAGAUAUUUUUUCAAGUAUUUGGGAGGUCCUACCUCUUGGUGCUCCAAGAAGCAAUCAGUGGUUGCAUUGUCAACCUGUGAAGUCGAGUAUAUUGCAGGUGCUUUGUUUGUGUGUCAAAUACUAUUUGGCUUAUGACUUUGUUGUAGGAUUUGAAGAUCAUAGUGAACAAGUCUGUGAAGCUAAUGAUUGACAAUAGAUCAACCAUAAGUCUUGUCAAAAAUCCAGUGAUGAAUGGAAGAAGCAAGUAUAUUGACGCGAAGUUUCAUUUUAUGAGGAAUCAGAUUCAGAAUGGGGUGCUAAAAGAUGUGCAUCAGAAGCAAAUUGCAGAUGUUCUGACUGAAGUUGUGAAGACUGAACACUUUGUCCACCUGAGGGAUGAAAUUGGUGUCGUAGAGUUUAGUUAGCUAAAUAUGAUUUAAGGGAUGGUGUUAAAAGUAAUCCAUAUUCAAAAGUAGUAUUGUUAAUGAGAAGCAGAAGCUUCUGAUGUGCCUGUUCCAGAAGUGGUGUUUAGCUUCUGGUUAUAGUUAGUUUUAAGUUUAUCAGAGGGUGCACUACUCAGCUAGCGUAGGUUAGCAUUUUGUCUACGUGGCAUUUUUAUUUGUGUAUAUAAACCAAAUAUGUAACAAAAUUUUAUAAUGCAAUUAAUAGAGUUUCUCUAAAAAGUUAGUCAGAUCUAUUUUCUCUCUAUUCUCUCUCUCCAUCUUCAUCACAUUCCUCUUCAAUCUUGUGCAUCAACACCAAUGAUCUUACCGGACCGCUCUACCCUCCAGUUCACGGUCUAACCGGUCCGAUCGACUGUUGUUAUUGGUAUAUGAAAUGCUUUGUUUUAUCCAUCGAUAAUUAUUAACUGGUAAUUUCCUAGUUAAUUAACUACUUGUGUUACAAAUUCUAAACAUUAAUUAGAGAAAGUUAUGAUCUGAGACUUCUAUUAACUUGAAUGUUUAACCUACACACUCAAACAACUCGUCCAAUCGAUAAAUUAUUCUUGUUUUGUUAUCAUCAAAAUGUUAAAAAUAAGUCAUUAUUAUUUUACAAUUGUUUAUAAACAACUUGUUUCUUAAAAAAUUGAUUUUCUUUACAAAACACUAUUGUGUUUCAAUCUACCAAGCACAACACAAACACCUCUAAGAAUAGGCGCAGUGUUCGAUAUGUAUCGGCGUUCAACACUUAUAUGACACUCGUACGAUACGUGUUGAAAAAGUCAAACAAUUUUCGAAAAAAAUCACACAAAUAUAUCCAAAUAAAUGAUUCAUUUUCUUUGCAUCGACACUCUUAAAAUCAGUGUCAGACACCAUAUGACAACCCUCAUACAACAAGUGUCGACAAUUAUAGAAGUGUUUAAAAAUGACUAUGUUUUGAUUAGAUAUAUAUAUAUAUGUUUUAUAUUUUUGAUAAUAUUAGUGUCAGAGUGUCUGUAUCAGUUCGUGUUUUGUUGUUCGUACUUCAUAGGUUUCAAUUAGGUAAAAAAAAAUGAUAAAUCACUACUAAAUGUGUUAUACAUUUGGCAAAAGACACAUUUUGUAAUUUAGUUAGUUAGCAAAUACUAGUAGUAAGCAAUAAAUAUCGAUUUUCAGUUAAUGAGUUACACACAACCAAGUUAUUUAUAGGAACAUCGAUAAUAAUUUAAGGAUUAAUUACAAAAACUAUAAAAUUUAAGGUGGCCUAGUUUUUUUCUGAAUAAAUAAAUAUAUCGAAAUUUUGAAAUGUGAAUAAAUAAAAAAAGACUAUGAUGUAUACCUUCUAACAUGAAUAAAAUAAUUAAUUAAGUGAAAGUAUUUUAAGAAAUAAAAAUUUCAAAUUAUUUUUGGGGAGAUGCAAAGAGAAAUUUUGAUUUUCACUAUACCACUCAUUUUAUAUAUGGCAUGUUUCAAGUGUCAAUACAUUGUGUAUUAUUCUAUUACUCUCAGGAGUUCUCAAAACAAAUAUGUCAUUUCAAAUUUAUUUAUAGGCUAACUCUUAGCGUGUUGUUAAAAAUGUUAAAUUAACUUAAAACUUAGUAUAUAUUAGUUAAGUUAAAUAAAUGUAAAAAGUGAUUGAUAUUUAUAAAUCAUGUCAAAAUAUUUAAUAAAUUUUGUAAUUACAAAAUUAAAUAGACAUUCUUAUUUAUUGAACAAUUACAAUAAAAAUGAUUUUAUAAUAUGUUCUACUUGUGCAUAUAUAUGUGUGUUUUCAAGCAAAUAGUGUAUUAUUCCAAUGAAUAACUUUAUUACGGUCCAACAACAAAAUAUCUUUUUACUGUCAUGAAAGGUUAAAAAAUAGUAAUAAAUUGUUAAAAAAGAAAAUUUUCUCUUAUCUAUCAUGAAAGGUCAACAAAAUUCUUUUUGCUAUGAAGUAAUUUACUUAAGAGAUAUUGAAUAAUACUUAUAACUUUAUGAAGUGUGUUUUACACUUUGUAAGUGCUACAAACCAUUUAAUUAUUUAUAGAAGAGCAUGAAUUUAUACAAUAAAAGAGAUCAAAUUUUGCAAACAAAGAAGAAGAAAUAUGGUUGGAAUUAUUAAGCUUCGCUACAUUAUGAUUAUAUUUCUUUCCUUAUUUCUUGUUGCAGCAAAAGUUGAUGAUGGUAAGUCAUUAUUUCAUGAUUUUCAAAUUUAUUUCUUUAAUUGAUAGUUCUUACACAAUAUAUUAUUACAUUUUAGUAAUUUUAAUUUAGUUUUUUCUUACAGAUUAUUAUGAACCAUAUUGUGAAAUUGAUUCGGAUUGUCUUCAAGUAUGGAACACAUACUAUGUUUGUAAGUGCAUUAAUGAAAGAUGUAAAUGGGUUAAAAGAGACCCUUGAAUGUACCAAAACACCUUAUGUAGGAGAAUAUGUUGUUGUGAUAGCAGGAAAAAAAAUGUGCAACAUACCUUAUGAAAGAAUAUUUCUUGAAUUUGUGAUUUUGCACGUUAAGAUGUUAAUUAGAUAUAACACAUUUCUUGAAUUUAUGAUUUUGCACGUUAAGAUGUUAAUUAGAUAUAACACAUAGUAUUAUUUAGAUUGCAUUUAUCUCACUUAAUUUUAGAGAUAUUAUCAUGACAUUCAAUUCACACGCAUUACACCUUAUUACUAAACCCGUUAGAUAUAAGAAUAAUUUUAAUAGUUAGGAAAGAAAUAGAAUGAGAUCAAGAGAGGAAGAAAUAUAAUUGAAAUAUAACUAGAGAGAGAAUAGAAUAAGAAUAAGAGAUCUUGCUUGAGCUAAGGUCUUGAAAUUUAGAGAAAAAAUAUAUGGAAGAGGGAAGAAUAUAUAACCAGAGAAAAACUUUGAUAAAGAUAGACUUGUCCCUUAGUGACAAAUACAAACUCAUUUUUAACUAGUGAUUUUACAUUUAUUUUUACUAAUGUUACUAUUAAAAUACUAUGAAUUAUCUCCCACUAAAUAUCGCCUAUCAGAGCACAGACCCAUAAUGAUAACUAACAAAGGUCACAUCAAAAAAUGAGGAUACAUAAAAUCCAGAUGCAAAAAUACAUGCAAAUCUUAGAAGGUAAAACUACAAUAACGUGUAAAGUGCAUUUUCGAAAAGGCGCACCCAUGCAUAGAAAAUUGUUAGUUUGUGUGACAUUUGUUACGAGGAAGAAAAAAUAUUCAGAGAAUGAAAAUAAGUAUUGAUAUUAUUGAAUAUUAUUGUUAUUGUAUUGUGUUACAAAAUUGAAUUACAAAAUAUCUAUUUAUAUAUGAUUAAGUGACUUGACUACUAAGUAACAAAUAUAACAAACCCUAAACCUUAAUUAAUUUUGACUUGAGCCACACACAACUUGGAUUAUAUUACUUAUAUCUCAACACACCACAUAUAAUUCGAGUUGUCGAACAAACACUAAUUAUAGUCGAUCUAAAUUAUUCCCAAUUUCUUUCUCAAAUUUAGGAAUAUGUCGAUCUUCAAUCCUUUGGUGAAAAUAUCGACUAACUCUGCUUCACUUGAGCAAUGUCUCACUUCAUGUUCACCCUGGUUAACCUUCUCCCUUAGGAAAUGAAACUUAGCCUUAAUGUGAUUACUUCUCCCAUGCAAAAUUGGAUUCUUCGAAAUAUUUACGACUUACUCAUUGUCGAUCUGCAACACCAGAGGUUUCUUCACUUCGAUCUCAAUCUCUUCCAGCACAUAUAUAAUCCAUAUUGUUUGACACACGUCAUAAGAUCCCGAUAUAUAUUUAGUCUCACACGAUGACAAUGCCAACAUAGGUUGCUUUCUCGACCACCAUGAGAUUGGGGCACCAAAUACUUGAAACAAAUAACCACUUGUGCUUCUUCGAUCUUCCUUAUCUCCACACCAAUUAGCAUCUGAAUAGCAAGUAUCUGUACAUGUAGCGGGGUAUUCGUUACCAUUAGAGAUAUUGACUAAAUCCAAGGUAAAUCAUACAAGUCGAGUCGCCACCGCACUUCUAUUUAUCCAAGGGAAUGGUUAGAAAGCGAACAAAAACCUAAUAGUUUUAUCNNNNNNNNNNNNNNNNNNNNNNNNNNNNNNNNNNNNNNNNNNNNNNNNNNNNNNNNNNNNNNNNNNNNNNNNNNNNNNNNNNNNNNNNNNNNNNNNNNNNNNNNNNNNNNNNNNNNNNNNNNNNNNNNNNNNNNNNNNNNNNNNNNNNNNNNNNNNNNNNNNNNNNNNNNNNNNNNNNNNNNNNNNNNNNNNNNNNNNNNNNNNNNNNNNNNNNNNNNNNNNNNNNNNNNNNNNNNNNNNNNNNNNNNNNNNNNNNNNNNNNNNNNNNNNNNNNNNNNNNNNNNNNNNNNNNNNNNNNNNNNNNNNNNNNNNNNNNNNNNNNNNNNNNNNNNNNNNNNNNNNNNNNNNNNNNNNNNNNNNNNNNNNNNNNNNNNNNNNNNNNNNNNNNNNNNNNNNNNNNNNNNNNNNNNNNNNNNNNNNNNNNNNNNNNNNNNNNNNNNNNNNNNNNNNNNNNNNNNNNNNNNNNNNNNNNNNNNNNNNNNNNNNNNNNNNNNNNNNNNNNNNNNNNNNNNNNNNNNNNNNNNNNNNNNNNNNNNNNNNNNNNNNNNNNNNNNNNNNNNNNNNNNNNNNNNNNNNNNNNNNNNNNNNNNNNNNNNNNNNNNNNNNNNNNNNNNNNNNNNNNNNNNNNNNNNNNNNNNNNNNNNNNNNNNNNNNNNNNNNNNNNNNNNNNNNNNNNNNNNNNNNNNNNNNNNNNNNNNNNNNNNNNNNNNNNNNNNNNNNNNNNNNNNNNNNNNNNNNNNNNNNNNNNNNNNNNNNNNNNNNNNNNNNNNNNNNNNNNNNNNNNNNNNNNNNNNNNNNNNNNNNNNNNNNNNNNNNNNNNNNNNNNNNNNNNNNNNNNNNNNNNNNNNNNNNNNNNNNNNNNNNNNNNNNNNNNNNNNNNNNNNNNNNNNNNNNNNNNNNNNNNNNNNNNNNNNNNNNNNNNNNNNNNNNNNNNNNNNNNNNNNNNNNNNNNNNNNNNNNNNNNNNNNNNNNNNNNNNNNNNNNNNNNNNNNNNNNNNNNNNNNNNNNNNNNNNNNNNNNNNNNNNNNNNNNNNNNNNNNNNNNNNNNNNNNNNNNNNNNNNNNNNNNNNNNNNNNNNNNNNNNNNNNNNNNNNNNNNNNNNNNNNNNNNNNCAAAAGCCUUAAGGUCUUUUGUUAUCAAAGGGAGAAAACUCAACCUAAAACCACAAAUCCACCAUGUGAGGAUAGCUUCAACAUGCUAGUGAGGGGUUAACCCUAUAAUAAGCAUGGAAGACUCAUUGUCCAUCACUAAGGAUAUAGGUGAGUAUCACAUCUACCACAAGGAUAACUCAAACCUAAUAGCUAAAGGUUAUAAAAAAAAUUGAUUAAGGAGAUGGCCGUUGGAACCGCAAAAGACAUUUGAGUGGGUUAUAUUUACCAAUUAGAAGUAUAUACAAAAAUGGUCAAAGUUGACUUAAAAGUUCAAUUCAAAAUAAGUGUUAUGAAAAGAAAGUUUGAAAAUCAAAAGCAUAAGGCUUAGGUUUCUAAUGUUGAAAACAAUAGUUAAAUGUUUGCACAAAAGGUUUUGGCUUGGGUUAGAGUGGAGAGAAGAAGAAGAAGGGGCUAAGUCCUAAGUAAAAAAAAAGGAGGGAUGAAGAAUCAAAACCACAAUGGAGUCCCUCUCUUGAGAUCAUACUGAUGAUCCAAGUAGCUCCCAUCCUUUGGAAUAAGCAAGCACAAAGCAUAAGCAAUCAAACAAGUCUCAUAAGAGAUCCUCAAGGUGUCUUGUAUGUUCCACUUGGAUGAACAUGGCAAUGGUCUUUCAAUUGAGCUCAUAGCAACCCUAGCACAAAAGCACGCACAUCAAAAGUUCCAAUGAAGUAAAACAAGAAUGGACAAGAGUGAGUUUAGAGAUUUGGUCCUUCUAAUCCAUCUUCAUCAUUAAGAUUCUUUUACUCCAAUUUUGCUUAAGGAAGGUCCUAGAAUCUAAGUCAAAUUCUCCAUUUCUUUGCAUAGGGGAAGUCCUAGAAACUAAGUCCAUUUCUUUGCAUUUGGUCCACAACAAUCAAAACAAAAACACAAGCACAAUAAUAUAUACACAAUUAUGUGCUCAAGUGAACAAAAGGCAAAUGGCAUUAACAUAAACAUGUGCUCAAGUGAGCAAAGAGAAAAGCAAAUGGAUAAUAUGUGCAAGAAUAGUAAAUUGAACAUAAAUUAUCAUAAAUUUGCAUUUAUAUAAAAGUUAAAUUGUCACAAUAGAUUAAAUGUAACUGUAGUUAGGUGUGCCAUAAGGCUUCAAAUUUAGCGCUUAUCCUGUUAUAGAACAACAAUACGUUAAUUGACAUUAUGAUGAGGAAAAGGCUAUCAGACUAUCUGGACGCCGGUCAAUAAUAAUAUAGUGCAACAAAACACAAGUUAGGAGUCUUGAUUAGCCUAACCCAAGUCCCAACCAACUUGUCCAUGUCCAAAAAUGAAGAAGAGAAUAUAUGAUCUUCGUAUGGCGUUUAUUAUGCCUUUUGCAUGUUUAGAAAGACAUACCUAUCCCCUAAAAAUGUCUCUAUAUAGAAUCAUUCAACUACAUCUAAAGACUAAUAUAAAUGAAUCAAGUAUGAAUUCGUUCAUAUGAACAAUCAAAAAAGAAUAAAUGAAAUUAUCUCUGCCAACCACAUGCUUAACCUUUAAUAACAAACCAUAAAUCAAGCUCCAAUUGAUUCAUACACGGGAGAAGAAUCAGUAGAGAAGCCAAAAAGAUGAAGAAAAGAGUGGAUAGAGAAGAGAAAUUAAAAUGCGGCAAAAAUUAAAGUGCAUUAAUGAAAUAAUCAAUGUACCAAUCCUCAAUGUUGACCAAUAACAUUGAAAGUCAAGGUCAAACAAUCAAAACAGAAGUGAGAUGAAGAUUGGGAAUCAAGAAAUGAAAAAAUUUAUUUUUGGCAUAUUUUAAUAUUUAAAAUAAACUUGAAUUAAAAUAAAAAGAAAAAGGUCAAACUUCAAAAUUACUUCAAUCAACUUGGAAGGUCCAAGUAAUUUAUUCCCAAGCUCAGACAAGGUCAAACAACAUUUGAUCUAAAAAAAAUUUCAAGCAUUUUUAAAGAUCAGGAACUAUUUUAAUCAAUUAAAAAUGAAUAAAAAAACCAAUAAUUGAAACUAAAUCUCAAAUAAAAUCUCAAUCAAUUCAAAAAUUGAUGGAGAAUAUUUUUCAUAGAUCCAUCAUCAUUCAAAUAGGUUAGGAAAAUAUUUUUUGUAUUUUUAAUGAAUAUCAAAAACUAUUUAAAAGAGAAUUAAAAAUAACCAGAAAAGAGAAAUUCAUAAAAAAUAUCAAAUGACAAAAUAAAAAUAUUAAAAUCAGAAAUAGAAACUAGAAUUUAUUUGGGAAAAUAAUGCAUUGGUCCCAUAAUUUUUGGAUAAAAAAUGAAAGAGAUAUUGAUUUUUGAAAAUAAAUUGGAAUUAAAGAAAUAAAAAACAGAAAUUAAAAAAAAUGCAAAAACAUGGAGCGUUAGAUCUGAGCUCAUUAAUUGAGCUGGCAGAUCACACGCUCCUAAGAUGCGCGCCCAUUGUGGUCUCUGGUCAAGCAAAGCACAUGGCAGAAAAAAUAAAAGUCAUAACAUGGAACGGUCCAGAUUAGAUCUGGAAACAAGAUCGUGUGGCCAGGAUUCAAACUGGAAAUGAUGAAGCCACCGGAGCCACCGUCUUCUCCGGUGAGCUUGGAUUUUCCGGCCAAAUUGCAAAAAUUCAAACCUUAAUGAAAAUGCACGAUCUAUACAUCUUUAGAAAGUUGGGAUGAUGUACAUCAUCCCUGUACCAUCCAUUUCCCCUCUAGAUCUCCGUAGUGUGAGAAAUCAGAGAUGGAAAAAUAUGGUGUUCAUCAUGAACUUAAUGGAUUUCAAAAAUUGAAGGCAUAAACAUGAUGCCUCUAUUGAGAGGACUUCGGCCAACACAAAAUCUAAGCCAAAAGGUCAAUGGAUUAGGAGAAUCGAAGAAAAUACCAAUUGGAAUGUGAGCUUGAGUUCUGGUAAUUUGAGCACUAUGCCUCGCUUGCUUUGCUAAAACAGAAGUUCAAUGAGAUAAAUGAUGAAGGUUUAGAAGCACUAGAUCUGAGAAUUCAACCAGAUGAAGUUGAAUUUCAGAUCUGAAAAAAUUGAGAAAAAUGAGCUUGCUCUUUAGUGAUGGCUAUGAAAGAAUUCUGCAGCAUUUCAGGUUGAAUUAGGCGUGUGAAUGAAUGGAAUGAGGUCUUCAUUUAUAGAGGAAGUGGCAAGGAGAGUGUGAAAUGAUCCGUGUGCAUGGCAUGUGAAGCUUCAUUGCAGGGCUUGCAUGAUCAUGCCCAGGCCCAAAAAUAAUGCAAAUGAACUCUGAGCAUCAGCACAAUGGAACUUGGAUCGCUGUGACUUUGCAAGGCAAUAGCUUAUGCACCAAGAUUUCAAGUGAAUUCCUCAUUUGUACCUAAACAAACAUCUCUUCGAAAAUACCAUUUAGAAAAUCCAAACAUAGGCAUAUGGAUAAUGGUUGGAAAGGUCUUUGUACGAGGAACAAAUGUUAGGUUGGACAAAAACUAAUUUUAAGUGUGGAAAUUUAUGAAAUUUGAGUUUAAGGUGUAAGGUGCAUGACAUGUCAAGGCAAGGUUUCUAAAAUUGGCCAACUUUCAAGCCCUUCUGUUUUGAUGAUGCAAGCCUCAAAUGGAAAACCUCCAAUAUGAAAGUUGUAGAUAUUUUCAAGACAAUCAAAAUGGACUCAAAUUUUGCAUCAUUUGGAUUUUUGAUGAAAGAGUUAUGGGCACUUGAAGUUGGACUUUUUGACUUUUAAUGCAUUUAGUCAAAAAGGACCUAUAAUGUCUUGCAUUAUCACAUGUAUUUCCUAUGAGAUUUUGAAAUUUUGUUCAACAUAACAUUUGAAGUAGAUAUCUUAAUAUUUCCAAUACAUUUGAUCCCACCUCAAAAUCAUAAAAAAUGAAUGAGUUAUGUCCUUGGGAAGUUGACCCACAAUUAGGGUUUCAGUCAAAAUGACCUAUAAUGUAUUGGAAUAGAAGAUGGCCUUCCAAGCUUCAAAUCAAUUUUUGAUGAACAUGAAAGUUGUUCGUAUUGUCCUUAAGAACAUUUUUGCUUUUGGAACCAUCUCCAUUUGACCAACACAUAAAACGUUAGGUCUCAGUGCAUUUCAAAAUAGUUAGAUGAAUUGACUGAUCAACUUCUCAAGUCCACAACCCAUAUCUUGAUGAAUUGAUGAUUGAGGACACUCAAAUAAGUUCAAAUAUGCAUGAAAUUAAGAGUUUGUGCAUUUCAAAAUAGUUAGAUGAAUUGACUGAUCAACUUCUCAAGUCCACAACCCAUAUCUUGAUGAAUUGAUGAUUGAGGACACUCAAAUAAGUUCAAAUAUGCAUGAAAUUAAGAGUUAAAGAAAUUCCCUUGAUUAUAUUUGACCAUGGGCUGAGGUUGCUUCAUGAGCAAGGCAUUGUGAUGCACAGAGGAAUUAGGGUUUCUCCGAAGAACAAGAUCUCAAACCCUUUGACUUGCUUGAUAAAAAAUGAUGCAUUGAGGUACUAGGGAGGCAUACUUGAUGAAUGAGAGCUUUGGGAACCAUUACCAUGCUUGCUUUCAUCUCCUCUUGACCAUGUCUUUGUACCAAUGAUCUCCUGGAAGCUUUGGACUUUGUGAUUGCUCAAGCUACAAACAAAAGAUGUUAGUGACAUAUUUUUGUGCUUUUGGUUAGUAAACAAAAUGAGAAAAUCAAUGAUAUACAAUUCAAGCAUGCUUGGUGAUCUCAAACCAACUCACAGAAGGUCCCACCCAAAGGCAAAGGGAACCAAGAUGCUAAUGAUCCUUGAGGCUAUGCAAAUGAAAUAUUAUGAUGCCAUGAGGGAUCUUAGGGACAAAAUUGGGGUCUUACAGUACCUUCUUUGCUUUUAGAGCCUCGUCAAAAUAGAAUAGUUUAUCGAUCCUUUUAAGUAUCUCAGGAUUCUCCUUGUAGCCUUCAUGCGUGACACCCAUGGUUCACUCAUGUAUCUGCUAACUAAUCUGGUCAAGAAACCUAUAUCAGGUCGACUAUUGCACACAUCUCUCAGAGGUUCGAUAAUUUGUUUGAACAAAGUUGCAUCGACUUUAUCUUUCUCUCCAUGCUUCUCCAACUUAAAAUUUGGUUCGGCAUGAGAAGAUGCAUGAAUCGAAUCAUCCAUCAUGAAUCUCUUGAGUAUCUUUUUGACAUACUUUCUUUGAUGUAGUAUCAUACCUUGCUUCGACAUUUUAAAUUUUAUGCAUAGAAAAUAAGACAAGUUUCCCAUAUUCGACAUUUAAAAUUCCCUCAUCAUCAGCUCGUUGAACUUCGACAAGUUCUUCACGCUAUUUCCAAUUACUAGGAAGUCAUCGACAUAUAAGCAGAUGAUUGUCAUAUCUUGUGCCACAACCUGAACAUAGAUCCCAUACUUAGAUUUGCAUUUGACAAAUCCCAAUUUGACUAAGUAUGAGUCGAUCUUCUUGUUCCAUACCAUAAGUGCCUGCUUGAGGCCAUAGAGCACUUUGUGCAACUUAUACACUUUCCUUGCUUCCUCCUAUAUCACAAACCUAGGAGGUUGUGUGACAUAGACUUCUUCGUCCAAGGGACCAUUCAAAAAUGUUGAUUUCAUAUCUAAGUGAAAUGUUGACCAUCCUUGAUUACAUGUCAAGGCGACUACUAGCCGAACAGUCUUCAAUCUUUCUAUUGGUGCGUAUACUUUGGAGUAGUCAACUCCUGCUCUCUAAAGAAAACCUCGAGCUACCAAUCUUUCCUUAUGUCUUGCUAUCCACCCAUCAGUAUUGUGCUUCGACUUGAACACCCAUUUCACUUUGAUAGUUUUUCUAUAUGCUGGAAAUUUGACUAACUCCCAUGUGUUAUUUAUUUCGAUUGCUUGUAACUUUUCAACCAUAGCUGACUUCCACUAUUUAUAGUUUAAGGCUUUGCUAUAGUUGAUUGGUUCAUCACUUGCAAGUAAAGCAAAAUGAACUAAUUCUCCAUCUAGUGUAACUUCAUCAUCAUAAGUCACUUUGUAGUCUUGAAGUCUUGUUGGAAGAACUCUAGUUCUUUGAGGUCUCUGGCUUGUGCUAGCCAUACCCUCUUUGAAUUCGACUGUGUCGGGAAUGUCAGCAAUUUCUUUGAAUGGAAUAUCGACAAUAUCUUCGACUUCGACAUUAUUACUUGCUACGUCGAAUUCAUAGCUCUUUAAUGGCUUGUCAAUUGCAUCACUAUAAUUCCAAUUCCAAACAAAAUUUUCAUCAAUCACAAUAUCUCGACUCAUCAUGAUCUUUUGAUUAAUUGGAUUGAACAACCUGUAUGCACCAGUUUUGUGAUAUCCUACCAGAAUCAUAGGUUCAUUUUGUCAUCAAGUUUCCUUCUUCUUGCAUCAGGAACGUGUUUGUAACAAAUAGAGUCAAACACCUUCAGAUGACUCACAGAUGGUCAUUUUCCACUUCACACUUCUCCAUGAACCUUGUUCUUCAUCUUCUUGAUAGGGCACCUGUUCAGAAUAUAAACAGCAGUGGAAACAGUUUCACCCCAUAAGGAUUUUGGAAAAUUCUUUUGCUUCAGCAUGCAUCUCGCCAUGUCCAAUAUGUUGAGGCGUGUAAGGAGCAGUUACCUCAUGAAUGACACCAUGUUCUGUAUAAAACUCUUCAAACAUCUUAGAUGUGUAUUCGCCACCUCCAUCUGUUCGCAGAACUUUGAUCUUCUUCUCACUCUGGUUUUCGACAAGCAUCUUGAAUCUCUUAAAGAUUUCGAAUACUUUGUCCUUUCACUUGAUCGCAUAAAUCCACAACUUUAGACUAAACUCAUCGACAAACGAAACAAAAUACAUGUUUCCACCAAUGGUAUGCUCCUUAAAAGGGCCACAUACAUAUGAAUGUACAACUUCAAGUAUGCAGGAAGAUCUCAUUGGCAUAGUCGAAAUGAAUGACGUUCUGGAUUGCUUUCCGACUAAGAAACCUUCUUAGAGUUUGUCGGACAUCUCAAGACUUGGUAUACCAAUUACCAUAUCUUUAGUAAUCAAUUAAUUAAGUGAUCGAAAGUUCAAAUGUAAAAACCUCAAAUGUUACAGCCAACUAUGCUUGUGGUUGACAACGACUUUUAGACAUUGUACUGUAGUCGAACUGAUCAUGGUCUUGAGUGUCCUAUUCUUCUACAAAUGAGAUUUUAAGACCAAAUCAUUAUGAAUGUCGAACAGUUCCAAGGCUCCAUCUUUCAUGUUCACUAAGAACACUUUUUCGACCAGUUGUCCAACACUUAGCAGAUUUCACUUUAUUCCAGGUACAUAGAAUACUUCUUUGAUCAUAGAUUUUCCUUCAUUUCUCCUUUGAAUAACUAUGUCGCUAGUACCUUCUGCUUGCAACGAGCUAUUAUCAGCAAGUUUGACCUUGCUCUUCUUCGACGAUUCAAAAUUUGCUAACCAUAUUUUUCGACCAUUCAUGUGAUUCGAGCAGCCCGAGUCGAGGAACCAGAUCUUGAAGUCAACAUGGUCAUCUGCAACUGCAACCAUAAUCACAGUAUCUUCAGAAUCAUCUUAAUCUUAGCGUGCAAGGUUUUUUUCUUCCUUCUUGCCUUUUGUCGCUCCCUUGUCUUUAUUGUAGCAAUAAUUCUUGGCCAAGUGACCCCAUUUUUCACAGUUAUAGCAUUAUACACUUUUUUUCUUUUUUUCUUUCUGAUAAGAGUUUCCUUCUCCUUUUUUCGAGGAUUCAUAAGCCUUAUCAUCGACCUUAUGCUUUUGAGGGUUCGACCAAGAAUUCUUGCUCUGAGUCUUGCCUCAUUUGCCUUUGAAUUUGUUGGAGUCACCAUGCUUCUUCCAUGCCUGAGCCUGCAAUGCUUGUAUCGAAUCCUAAACCAAUUUCCUUUCGACAGUCCUAAUCUCAUGCGCCUCCAACAAACCAACCAAAUCUUCCAGUUUCAUGGUUUCAAGAUUGUUGGAUUCUUGAAUAGCUACGAUAACUUGAUCAAAGUGAGAGGUCAACAUACGCAUUACCUUCUCAACUAUCAUCUUAUCCGUUAGGGUUUCACUACCAUCCUUCAUGAGAUGGACGAGAUAUUGUACGUUCGAUACAUAGCCUGCAAUCUUUUCAUCUUUUCCCAUCUGCAACAAGUCAUAUUGUCGUCGCAAAGUCCAUAAUUUUACGAUUUUAACUUUCUCACCUCCUUCAUAGUACUUGACAAGAAUAUCAUAUGCCUCCUUCGCCGAUUCAUCAUGAGAGAUCUUGUCGAAAUUCACUGAAUUUACCGUCGAUUGAAUGCAGUAUGCAGCCUUGCAAUAUUUCUUCUUCACCUCCUUGUUCACGAAUCUCUGAGCAUCGGUUGUAUUCUCAACAACCUCAACGACGCCAUUAGUAACCACUUCUAGGGUUUCAUGAAAGUUAAACAGAGAUUGCAUAUGUUUUCUCCAUCGGAUCCAAUUCAUACCGCCAAUAAUUGGAAGAGAAUUUUAAAUGCCAUUAGUAUCAUUCAUCUUUACCGCGAUAAUAUUCACAUAAAUUUAAUAAUAACAAAGAUACACAUGUAUCAAAUAUCAACCGAUGAAAAUUUAAGACAUUUUACAUUUAGAGACAUAUUAAGACACUUUGUCAUAUUAAUAGUUAACUUAUAAUAGCAUUUACUGGAAUAUUCACUUCAUCAACCGUCACAUAACGAGCCACAUAAACAGUUCACCUCAAGUAUCUAAUUAUGAUACUUAUGUCCAAUAUGAUGCAUGAAAACACAAAAUUAUGUAGACUUUGACUUCCACGUAUUUUUGUAUACUUUUCAAAACCACUUUGAUCCUUAACAUGAUAUAAAAUAAUAUGAUAUGGAUCACAUAUGUUUAUGGGACACUUAUUCCCGCACUCGAUAAUAUCUACUCAUGGAACACUUUGUGGGAAACUCAACAUGAGGUCCCUUAGGUUAAAUACCAAAAUACAAGAGUUUUCUGAUAACUCCUAACAAUCGAGGUGCUCCCUCAAUUCACCUAAUAAUCCUAUUUGCUUAUCUCUCGUGACCUAACAAGUAUAUUUCCACUAACCAGGUCAGAUAUAGUUGUGCCCUCUCUGUCAUUAGGUUCAUCACACUCUAUCUAUUAUUGUUGUUUAAAAACAUCGCUUGGAUGUAAAGAAAUGGGAGGAAAUGGAUUAUGAAUAAAAUGGAGGAUGGAGGUAGAGUAUGAGUAAGUGUAAAGCAAACCUCGGUAGGGAGCUCUUAAAGUUUAUAUUUAUACUCUUCCUCUUAUCUUAUACAAAUCCAAUCUUAUUAAAAAAAAAGAGAAAUGUUAGGAUAACACAAAAAUUUACAACAACAUUGUAUGUAUAUCGGUGAGUUGUACUUUGUUUUUUUUAACAAUUCUUGUCUUGUCUUGGGUUUUGUGUCAUGAUUAAAAUGUUUUGAAAAUGUUACCGUGUAGAUACGGUGUAGUGGUUAUUCGGUGUCAACAUAGCACACCUUUAAAAAAAAUUAAAGAAAAAUAAUCCAAAGAAUAAAAAAUAUUAUUUUUCCGUGCAAUGAACACAUGUUUGACAUCCAAGGUUGGAAAUGAAUCGAGUCGAGUUGAAUUCACAUUAACUCAGUUUGACUCGUUAAAAUUUGGUUCAGUUUAAAUCUCUACUUGAAUUUGACACAAACUUUUUUUAAACUCAAAUUCGACUCGUUAUAAGUUCACGAACAAAUAGAUUUAAUUCGUUAGAUUCAGCUCACUUGCUUCACGGAUUUAAAAUCCAUUUUUUAAGUCUAUUUUUUUAUAUAUAUUUGAUAUUUGAAAUUAAUAUUUUUUUUUUAAAAAAAAAUAUUGAAAUAAAAUAAAAGUUAAUAGAUUGAAAUUUAACUUUGUCUCAAAAAUUUACUAAUUCAAAAACUACACAUCUUUCAAGAAAUACAUUUGAAAAUCUAAUUCAAAAACUACGCAAUUGGAGUUUAAAUUUGUUUCAAACAAAAUUAAUGAAAUCGUACACCAAAAUUUACUAUAAAUUGAUACGAAAUGGACAAUAUAGGGUUAAUAUUUGGAGUGGAUCUUUAAAAUCACUCUUAAAGACAAUAUAAUCUUUCUCAUAUAUAAUUGAGUUGACUCAAGAACCUAACGAGACGAACUAUGUAUAGUUCAAGAUCAUCUCAUUUAGUUAACGAACUUAAUUUUCCAUUCAUAUUUAGCUCAUUUGGUUCAUGAACCUAGACCAACGAUUUAAUUUUCAACCCAAUUUCCAAAGUAUUUUCAAUUUAGUUCAGUUCAUUAUAAGUGAACCACGUACUUUUUACUUUUAUACAAGUGCCUUAAUCAUUUGUAAGUGCCAUUUUAUUAACGUUAUUGUGCUUAGUUAUUCUCCUCUUGUACUAAGAGUAAUUGUCCAAAUGUCACAGCAACCUAGAUCGUUGAAUUAUGUUGUAAAUAAUUUAACUUGAUUGUUGUUACAAAACCUCAUGUCACUUCAUUAAUUUAAUCUUAUUAUUUACUUUAAAACAUAAAUGACAUAAAGUAUAAAGUGCGGGGAAGGUAAAUGAGUUAUUUCUCCAGACGCCUCACCUCUUUAAAUAGGGAGAGUCGUGGAUCCUAAUUCAUUGGUGCGUACUUUCACAACAUCCUCAUUUCUUUCAGCGCCCUUACAGUCACCCAUCCUUCUUGAGUACUCCUCAUUUCACAAUUCAUCUUGGAUUGUAGUUACUGGAGAGCUUAGGAAUGUUUCUCCCUCUGAGUUUUUCCCACUAAAAGGCAACACAAGAGUUAGACCUCUAGUGGGGUGGACAAACUGGUAGGAGACAUGGCAAGGAGCAACUGAUAAUAAUCAUUAAAGUUCUCCGAGAGGGGGAGGUGGAGAUCAAAGAACUACACCGCGUCAAAGGUAGGUUUUUCUACAAAUAAGGCCUGAUGGGGGCAAAUCUGUCACAUGUUUUCUUUCCUCCUCUAUCUAGAAACUUCUUGGUGGUCAAUGAGAACCCUUUUCCCAUCAGGGAAUCUUGGGGGCGGGCCUCACCAGCCCAAGAUAUCUCGUACUGCCUUUUCCCUUCGUCAACAGUCGUAUCUUGGGGGAGGGGCAAGGACAAGCCAGCUCGCUGCUGUGUAACAUGCAUCAUAAUCAAACAUUGUCUCCUCUUGCCAAGCAAGAUAUUAGUCAUGCCAUCUGCAAAAGAAAAGAGGGCUCGUAUUAAAACGAAAAACAAUCUAUUGACAAUCAGGAUAUGAAGUUCCUAUCAUACCAUAAAACUUUCCCAAAUACUCCUCCACUUCAUUGCCAUCCUCGUGAUCCUGGGUAGUUAAAGUACAUGAGUUCAAGGGUCGGAAACCGCCCAAGAUCUGGACCAUUUAUUUCUCAAUGAAAGAAAGGAUACUUGCAUUUAACCCAUUGAUAAGUUGGGGAUCGUACGUCCACAACAAAGGAAAGUGAGGGGCACUCGUCGCUCCGGUCGUCAUCAGGGAGGCGUCGCCUCACCCCCUCACCCACAAGAACAUAUCUUUUCAAUCCUCGUGAGGAAUCACAUAAGGUUAUAGCAUACGUCUAUCUGGAAGAUCACACAGAGUUAUCCACACAUAGUUAGGGAUAACCUUUACAUUGUAAAAAGAGAGGACUACCAAAAAAAGUGGGAGGGCCCCCCAAUUUAAUGUAGAUUAUAUAAAAAAUCCCUUAGCAUGCCUCAUAUGUUAGGGGUAAUUUGGGCAGGGGCGGUGUUAAUUAUCAUAAAAAAAAUCAGCUUCGAAGAUAGUAAAGAGGAUCAAAACCCCUAACUCAUGUAUAACAGGCACGUAAGAAUAGAAGUAGGGAACAGAGGCCUCGUCGACGGUGACCAUGUUGGCUCUCUCUGUUCCUGAACAAGGUUCAAGAACCAUGUGUCAUACCCUAAAUUUUGUCCACGUGUCUUCUAUUUUAUUUUUAGAAUAUCAAAGAGAAUUAAAAUUGUGAGUUAGCUCAGUCGGUAGUGGGGCAGAGACUUGACGCGUAAGGUUGCGGGUUUGAAUCAUAUUGCAUCUCUUUUUAUUUGUUAUUUUUACUAAAAGUAAAUAAAAUUCCAAUGUUGACCUUUUCUAGUUUAUUUAUAUUUAUUAUCGUUUUUUUUAUUUAGGUAACUUUUUAAUAUUAUUUUUUUAUUUUAGUUAUUUUUAAACCAUAAAUAAAAAAUCCCAAAAAUAUUAUAUUUAAUUAUUAUGUUUUAAUUAUAUUUAUCACUAAUUAUGGUUUUUCAUUUCUGAUUACAUCCUAAUUUUAAUUUGUAAGUAUAAAUAAGAAAUGCUUAGAGAAGCAUAACGGAGGCGCAGAGCUAACCGUAGCACAAAUUUGUUUUGACAUUUUUUCAUCUUACCACCAUCUUCACCACACUUGAUUGGUUCAUCAAUCGCAUUCAUACAAAAGUCUUCUACAUCUUCCUUACAUCAUCACCAUUAUAAUAAACAAGUUUUCCUUCAUCAUCAACCAUUAUCACAAAUAUUUCCUCCUUCAUGCACCAAACACAACAGAGUCACCAUUGAAUUUAUUUAUUCUAAGAGAAAGGGAAAAUAUCAAUAAAACCCAAAGGUAAUAGAAAAGGACAAGGAAGUCGGUUAUGUAAGGGGAAGAUAUUAACAUUUCUCGCAUUCGUUGUACUCAACGGGAAUCGUUUUGGUUGUUCUUUGCCAAGAUGGAUGUUAUUAUCUAAAGGUUACUUUCAAUUGGUUUUAAUUAAGGGAAAACUAAGUUUUUAAUUAAUGUGCUUGCCAAGAUUUCCAAAUCUUGUGUCUACGUAUUCCCAUAGUGCAAUGAGAAAAUCAGAGCUUCGUAGUUCGUGGAAUAUAACAUGAGUAUUUGUUGGUUGAUUUUAGGGAACAAUCACUACGCCAAAUAAGGGAAAAGAGGGCGCUUUUUUUGGCCUAUAACAGCGCUUUAAAGCGUCCUCUAAUCUGGCGCUGGCAUAGGUAAAGACAGCGUUUUUUUUCCUGGUGAAAACGCUCUCUAAAGUGGCUCUUUAAGCCCUUUAAGGGCCACUUUAGAGGGCGCUUUUUAAAGAAAGCGCCCUCUAAGUGGAAACUUUAAGGGUUUUAGAGGGCGCUUUUACUGGAAAGCGCCUCUAAAGUGGAACUUUUUAAGGGUUUUAGAUGGCGCUUUUACUGGAAAGCCGCCUCUAAAGUGGAAAUUUAAAGGUUUAGAGGGCGCUUAUUUUGGAAAGCCGCCCUCUAAAGUGGGUGGGUUAUUUAAAUUUUUUUUUUUAAAAAGCGCUAUAUUUUUUAUUUAUUUUAGACAACCUGUAUAUUGAAGCAGUAAACACUAAAACUGUAUAAUUUGAAGCCCUUUUUUCACACAUUGCAUUCAACAAGCCUUAUAUACAACAAUCCAUACAUAUACAACAAUCCACUGAUAUAUAAUCGUUUAACUUCUAAAGAUUCUAAUAUACAACUAAUUCAUAACUUAAAAAAGAAAUAAAACUAAGUAGCAAAAGCAUCUCUGAGAUGUAUGUUUUUUUUUGCUAGCCGCAGUCUUCUUAGCAACAACCUCUUUUUGUUCAAUAUCAUAGCAUGAACCUAAUAUCAUAAAAUUAGUUAGUGAAGUAUAAGAUCAAGAAUUAAACAUUUUUAUGCAUAAUAUAGCAUAUAAUUGUGUUUAUACCUUUUUUUUUAUGCAACUGAUCGAUUUGCUGUAAUAAAAGCCAUUUUACCUGUAAUAAAGAAAACAAUUAAAAUCAUUUGACCUGUACUUUUUCACUAAGUUCUCUUUCUUUUCUUUGUUGUUGGAUAUGUUCUACAUGUCUCUUAACAACACAGACGGUUGGAUUGAUCCAAAACCCUAAUUAUGAUCAUUUCUAAUAUAUGAAUCAUUUGAUAUAAUAUUCUCAUCUUGAUCAUUUCUGGUAAACGAUUCAAUCUCAAUAUCAAUAUCACCUUGAUCUCCAGUGUUUUUUUCAUCAUUUACUUUGUUGGAAAAAAGAACUAUAGACCAUUUCGUACUUUUCGGAUCAUUGACAUAGAACACUUGUCUAGCUUGAGAGGCUAGAAAUAAAAGACUCAUCUUUGUAUCCCACCCUAUUAAGAUCCACUUGCAAAAAUCCUGACUUAUAGGAAUCUGAAACUUCUCAUAAUCAAACACCCAAAUGCGCUCGAUAACACCAAAAUACGACAGAUUUGCAAUUUUGGGUUUAAGUCCUUCACACUUGAAUAUGUGCAUUGCUUCAGCUACCACGGUGACACCACUAUUCUGCAUAGUACUUUUAUCAUCUUGUUCUUUGUAUAAAAUGUGUAUCCAUUAAUAGCGUAUGCGCUAUAAGAAAAACAUGGAAACUUGGACCAUAUGCUAAGCAUCUCAACCUUUCUGUUAUUGAGCGGGAUUCUGAAUAAUACUUUGAAUAAAUAUGAUCCUAAACCAAGGUAUAAAAACUCGAUGUGCUCUCGUACUAUCAAUUUUCAUUUCUAUUGGAUUUAAACCUCGGAGAACAUCCUUGUGAAUUUCAACAUACGGCUCAACCUCAUUCUCAUUGUGCAGAACAUACAAAUGCACUUGAUCCCGUUCGACCUUGAUACUGCCACGAUUUUAUUCAAUUAGAUUUUUUCCUUCUUUCUUUUCGACAAGCUGAGACUUGGGGGAGUCCGAUUGAUUGAACAUUAGACAAAUAUUCAGUACAAACUCAUCGCUUCUUCAACAAUGUAUCUUUCAACCAUACAACCUUCUGGUCGACUUGUUCUUCACGUACCCUUUUAAUUUUCAUAUAACGUUCAACAGGGUACAUCCAUCUCAUAUAAGCUGGUCCCACCAAUUGUGUCCUCUUCACAAGAUGAACAACUAGAUGUACCAUUAUGUCAAAAAAUAUGGAGGAAAAAACAUUUCAAGCUCACACAAGUAAUAACGAUUUCUUUUUGCAACAUUGGUAAGAUCGAGGAUCGAUCACUUACUGCAAAUUGACUUGAAGAAAGAACACAACUUAGUUAUAGAGCUUCUUACUUUUUCUGAAGAAUAGAACGUAUACCUAUUGGGAGAAAAUGUUCCAUUAUAACAUGGCAAUCAUGGUCUUUAAAUCUUUAACUUGAGGUCUUCAUAGACACAAGUCUUCUAAUAUCUGAACAGUACCCUUCUGGAACUUUAACUUCACUUAGAAACUUACACAAUGUUUUUUUCUCCUUUCUAGAUAGAGUAUAAGCAGCAGGCGGUAGAUAUGUUCGUUUUCCUUUCUUCAAGGGUCCUAAUUCAGUUCUUAUUCCCUCGCUAUCAAGUCCUUUCUUGCCUUAAGGCCAUCCUUAGACUUCCUUGUAUAUUGAGUAACGUGCCAAUAACACUUUCAAAUACAUUUUUUUUCAAAUAUGCAUAACAUCAAGAAAGUCUCACAUACAAGGACUUCCAUACGACAAUUCAAAAAAAACUGACCUCUUCUUCACCCACUUUUGACAAGUGUAUGGGCAAAAGGCUUGCCAAACUGAGUAUCCAAAUCUUUCACCUUUUCAAAAAUUUGAUCACCCGUCAAUAUAGGUGGAGCUCUGCCUUGUUCUGUCUCUCCAUUGAACGCCUUUCUCCAUCCAGGGUAGUGAUGAUUGAAUUUAAAGAUCUCCGAAGACCGAGAAGACAUUCUUCUGACCAAACUCCAAGCGCUUCCAAUCUGUUUUAUCUUCACAAUAGGACACGCACAUUGACGCUUUUAUGUUAUACCCUGAUAGAUUUCCGUAUGCUGGAAAAUCAUUAAUUGUGCAACAACAUCUCCCUCGAGUUGAAACUUCUUUCCUAUAUCCAUCAUAAACCUCCACACCGGUCUCCCACAAAAAUCUUUAAAUCUUCGAUUAAGGGCUUCAAGUACACGUCUAGUCAUUCCUGGUGUGUUUGGUCCAGAAAUCAACAUAGACAACAUCAUGUACUUACGCUUCAUACAUAGCCAUGGAGGUAGGUUAUAAAUCAUAAUAAUCACAGGCCAUGUACUGUGUGAGAUACUCUGGAUACGUGUGGGUUCAUUCCAUCAGUAAGAUAAUGCCAAGCGAAGGUUUAUUGAUUCUUCUCCAAUUCAGAUAAUCAUUAUCAAUUUUCAACCACUGUGGUGAAUCUGCCGGAUGUCGAUACUUGCCAUCUAUAUUCUUUCAUCUGCAUGCCAGGUCAAGUGUCUUGAAUCGGUUUCACUAGAAAACAUGCGUCUAAAUCUCGGAAUAACAGGAAAAACCACAAGACUUUUGCUAGAGACAACUUGUUCUUAUAUCGCGAGACACCGCAUUUAGGACACUCAUUUAACGAUGCAUACUCAUUUCGAAACAAAACGCAAUCGUUUGGACAUGCAUGUAUCUUAUCAUAGCUCAUGCCAAUAGAGCACACACAUCUUUUUGGUCUCAUAUUGUUCGAUUGGGAAGAACAUUAUCCUCAGGAAGCAUAUUUUCAAAAGGGCUAAUAACUCUGUGAAACUUUUAUCCGACCAUCCAUUGCCCGCCUUUAAGUUGUACAACUUUAAUACCGCAGACAAUCUUGUGAAUUUAGUGCAACCAUCAUACAAAGGUUUCUCUGCAUCACUUACCAACCUCUCAAACAUUCCGGGACAAUCCUUAAGAUCUCCUUCAAGUGCUUCUGCAAUCUCUUCAACUCGAUCACAAUCGUAUGUAUCUGCGCACUAUAGUUUGAGGCAUAGUCUACUAUCCCCCGAUUCAACAUUCUCGUUACUUUUCUACCAUGCAAAUUCCAACAUGUAUAACUUCGAUCAAUUCCAUGCCUCAUUAGAUGCGAUGUCAACUGAACUGCGUCAACCCGUUUCCCAUAACAACAACCCAAGCAAGGACAUAUCAUUCUACUGGGGUCUCGGCGUGCGCAACGGUAAACUUAACGAAUUCUGAUACCCAUUCUCGUACUCUCUCGCAAUCGAUUGGAAGACAUCCAUGUAUUAUCCAUUACUAAUUAGAAUAAACACAAAAACAAUUUCAAAGAGAAACAAAAAAUGGGAUGAGACAAAAACAAUUUCGUUAUUGAGUUAGUCUCUGUGCAGGGCAUUCAUGUCUCCAACAACAACCCAAAACCAAAACAAUUUGGUUUAUUGAGUUAGUUCUCAACAUUUUCAGAUAUCUCCGACUUCAAAUAGCAUGAGAAUGUAUGAACCAUGCAUUAAGCAUUAGUGGUAUGCACUAAUUUGUAGCAUAGUUAUAUAUCAUCAUAUAGUUUUUACAAAAGAUAAACAUUGACUAGAAAAUAUAUAUGUAAAUGUAUAAUGGUCUAACUGAAAGCUAACAGAAGAAUAGUCGACUCUAAUUUACUCUAUCAAAUAACAUCCAUACCUAAACUUCUUAAGUUACUAGCUACGCUAUGUAUGCUAGAAUAAAUACACUCAUAAGCUGCAUAGUGUACCUUUGAUUGGUAGAAGGUGUUUUAGAUAUUCCUGCCUCCUUUUUCUACAUCGAGAACCAAAUGGAACAGUUGGUGAAAUUUAACCCAUAAUGCGUAGUCUCCAUUGCUAGCAUUGCAACACCAGGCUCCACUGUGGCCUAAAUGAACCAAAAAUUAGCAACUUCUACAAAUUACAACAGAAUAUUAUUAGUAUAAAUUUUCAUUAUCUAUAUAUAUCAAGAAUCUUUCCUUAAUAAUAUGUUUUUUUGUGAUUGUAGCAAGUUUAUUUUAUAAGCAACUGUGUGGUUGAACUAAACUCAAUGCAGCUCCAGCAGCAUGGUUACAAGAUGCUUCAGCUAUUUGGUUUUUGUAAGUAAGUUUAGAUCUAGGCAUAACCCAGACCCUGUCACACCAUAAAAUUUUAUGAUAACAGGAACUUGAAAUUACAUCUAGGCAUAACCCAGACCCUGUCACACCAUAAAAUUUUAUGUAAUUUCAAGUUCCUGUUAUCAUAAAAUUUGGAAAACGAAUAAAUAAUUGUGUAACCCUAAAUUUUUAAAACACUACAUAACAUAAGUUAUAUGGAUACCGUAACUACUUCACACUCUUCAACAACAUCAGACCUUUCCUCAUCAACACUCUCUCUGAUAUAAAAAGCAAAAGCAAUAUGACUAUGUGAUUAGAAGAAUUAUUUGAAGGGCUAAGUUUAAAAAAAAGUGCAUAGUAUAAGUUAUAUGGAUACCGUAACCACUUCACACUCUUCAACAACAUAAAACUUUGGCUCAUCAACACUCUCUUUGAUCUAAACAACANNNNNNNNNNNNNNNNNNNNNNNNNNNNNNNNNNNNNNNNNNNNNNNNNNNNNNNNNNNNNNNNNNNNNNNNNNNNNNNNNNNNNNNNNNNNNNNNNNNNNNNNNNNNNNNNNNNNNNNNNNNNNNNNNNNNNNNNNNNNNNNNNNNNNNNNNNNNNNNNNNNNNNNNNNNNNNNNNNNNNNNNNNNNNNNNNNNNNNNNNNNNNNNNNNNNNNNNNNNNNNNNNNNNNNNNNNNNNNNNNNNNNNNNNNNNNNNNNNNNNNNNNNNNNNNNNNNNNNNNNNNNNNNNNNNNNNNNNNNNNNNNNNNNNNNNNNNNNNNNNNNNNNNNNNNNNNNNNNNNNNNNNNNNNNNNNNNNNNNNNNNNNNNNNNNNNNNNNNNNNNNNNNNNNNNNNNNNNNNNNNNNNNNNNNNNNNNNNNNNNNNNNNNNNNNNNNNNNNNNNNNNNNNNNNNNNNNNNNNNNNNNNNNNNNNNNNNNNNNNNNNNNNNNNNNNNNNNNNNNNNNNNNNNNNNNNNNNNNNNNNNNNNNNNNNNNNNNNNNNNNNNNNNNNNNNNNNNNNNNNNNNNNNNNNNNNNNNNNNNNNNNNNNNNNNNNNNNNNNNNNNNNNNNNNNNNNNNNNNNNNNNNNNNNNNNNNNNNNNNNNNNNNNNNNNNNNNNNNNNNNNNNNNNNNNNNNNNNNNNNNNNNNNNNNNNNNNNNNNNNNNNNNNNNNNNNNNNNNNNNNNNNNNNNNNNNNNNNNNNNNNNNNNNNNNNNNNNNNNNNNNNNNNNNNNNNNNNNNNNNNNNNNNNNNNNNNNNNNNNNAAACGUCGUAGAUCUAACAGAGGUGGAAGGAGAACGCCUUAGAAGUAGCGAAAAUCGUAGCAGUGAGAACCCUAACGUGAAAAAGAACGAAAAUAACAGAGAGUGAAAUAACAAAACGCGCAGUAUGUUAUAAUCUUAAUGUUUACUAAAGGGGACCUUAGAGGGCGCUUGUGGAAAAAAAGCGCCCUCUAAAGGGGGCCUAAGAGGGCGCUUAUGAAAGCGCUCUCUAAGGCUUUCCAAAAGCGCUUUAUAAACUGGAAAUGCACUUGGACUUAUAGAGCGCUUUUUUAAAAGCGCCCUCUAAGGGUAACCUUAGAGGGCGCUUUCUAAAAAGCGCCCUGUAUUGUUGUCCCUCUAUCUCCUCCUUAUUUUUUCGCUUCACCUUAGAGGGCUCUUUAUUACAAAAGCGCCCUCUAAAGUGCGCUGUCUAUUCCAGUUGUUCGCUCCUUAUUUUUUCGCUUCACUUUAGAGUGCUUUGUAAUAAAGCGCCCUCUAAGGUGGGCUGUCUAUUCCAGUUUUUGGCGUAGUGAAUGUUAUAAUCGUAUCCUAGCAGUGUUUUGACAUUAUCUGUUUGAUCCUGGUUCAGACUCUAGAUGUUAGUAUGACUACUAAGGAAUGGAUUAUAAUUGUUCUUUUAUGAAAAGAAAUUAUUGUGGUGUCUGAACCAAGGACAAAGAAUUAUAAAGGUGGUGUCUGAACCAAGGACAAAGAAUUAUAAAUAUGGUGUCUGGACUAAGGACAAAAUUUGUAUUGGAGGUGUCUUAACCAAGAACAAGAAAUUUAAAGUGGUGUCUUAACCAAGAAAAAUAAAUUUAAAGUGGUGUCUUAACCAAGAACAAGAAAUUGAAAGCGGUGUCUUAACCAAGAACAGGAAAUUGAAAGUGGUGUCUAAACCAAGAACAUGAAAUUGAAAGUGGUGUCUAAACCAAGAACAGGAAAUUGAAAGUGAUGUCUUAGCCAAGAACAAGAAAUUGAAAGUGGAGUCUAAACCAAGAACAGGAAAUUGAAAGUGGUGUAUGGACAAAGAGAUAGGUGUUUUAACCAAGAGAUAGUGAUUAACCCAAAGAGAGGUGCUUUAACCAAGAGACGGUGACUAACCCAAAUAGAGGUGUUUUAACCAAAGGGAGUAUGAUUAAGAAAUGUUUUUGAUAUUGGUUGUGAUUGAUUUUAGUUUGAAGAUGAAUAUUCAUACAUGGAACUCUGCAGUAAUGUCUGAAUCAUUCGGGGGGAAAGAGUUUUCACCCUCCUCUUUUUACUUCCUUUUAUUAUGAAAAUGGUAUGCACUUGAAUUGUACUAAAGUCUAUGAAUAGAGGUGAAUACUUUGAACAACUGGGUCAUGUGUCCCGUAUCCAAAGAUAUUCAAAAUAAGGAUAGGAAUGCUCCAUCUUAUUCCUUCUUCAUUUCUUAAGGCUUAAGGCGCAUAAUUUGCAUCGUAGUUGUCAAGUGUUUUGAGUUUAUUUAAGAAAAAAGAAAUUUUAGUUUUAAAUGGUAAAAGAGAGAGAUAUAUGAUUGAAAGAAUGAGAUAUGAUGCCAAAGAAUGGGAAUAAAGUUUAAUUCGGUCAUGUCUUGGUGGUUACCUAUUUAUAGGGCUUUAAAGAUGAAUAGAAUUGUGAUUGACCCAAGGGAACAUGUGUCGUACAAGCCCUAAUGCCUCUAAUUCAAAUUAAGUGAUGACGGGACUUUUGAUCACCUAAUUGAAUAAGGUCCUAAGGGAGCAUGCAAUUUGUUUAAAGGAGCAACUAAAUAAUCCUAAAGUCAUUAAUUCAAUUAAUUGACCAAAAUAAUUUCAAUCAAUUAAUUGAACCAAGACACAUGGGGAUCAUGAAAAAAACUAGGUCAGGCUUAUUAAGAAGAAUCAAGCGAGCAUUGUGAAUUAAAGAUCAUGAAAAAUAAAAAAUCAAGAUUAAUGAUAUUAACCCUAAUUUCAUAAUGUACUCUAAUCUAAUCAUGUGUAGAAAUUAACGCUAAGUUAGGAUACAAAUCCUAAAUUUAAUACUAACCUAAUGAUGAUUAAAACAAAAUUGAUGUAGUAAAAAACUAAAAUAAAUUGUCAAAAAAUUUAAAUAAAUAAAUAAAGGUACACUCUGCCAAGGGGUAUAAAAUUGUGAGAGGGUGUGACUAGUCAAUGGGCGCAGGGCCCAUGACUUGAAGGCCCACGCAUUUUUUAUUUAUUUGAUUCAGAAAUUUGGGGUGAGAAAGGAGAAAUGGGUGUGUGUUGGAGUAAAAGGUUUAUUGGGCUUGGAUGAAGCCUAGGAAGAAGUUCAUCAUGAGGGAAAAGGCGUGAAUCUCUCUCAUACUCAUACCAGACCUCUUCUCUCCCCUCUCUCGCACCUCACUGGAAAUCACUUCAUCGUGCCGAAAAUAUCCUCCGGCGGUGGCAGAGCCCAGAACAUGGCUAAAAUACCACCAACAAACUCAUAUCACUGUCCUCUUUCCAUCUUUAACCUAUAUCAUCUCUAAAAAUUACCCUAAACUUUUUAUCCAACUAAAACACAUAAGAACCCUAUAAACUUCAAAGAGAAAUUAAAUGAUGCGCAUCCAUGGACUCAAAGCAAAACUUUGGGGAUUUUACUCAUCUACACAAGUUCUAUAGUGUGGUAACAAGCCUGGAGCAAGCAAGUGAAUAAUCAAGUAAAUGGAUACUUACCAACAGGGAGGAGAUUGCCCCUGGUAAUUGCUGAAAAGCGCGUUGAAGACGAAGAUGAAAUAAAGUAGAAACCUAUAGACUUUUGAUUCCAAGGUAAGAGUAUUCUUCCUAAUUUCACACUUCACUAUCAUUCUGCUUCUUCCCUCUUCCUUGACUUUUCUUGAGUUUCUGGUUGCUACGUUGUUACUGUAGAGUAGGAUGGUGUUGAGAUUAGGAUGAUUACUUUAUGAGGUUAGGUUGAAUUUGCAGUGAUGAUGAAGAUAGAUAAUUGAGUUAAGGUGUAUGAUGUAGGGGCCAAGAUCUAUUGCACAUAGCUCCAAAGGUUUAAGCUUUAUCAAGGUGGAGAUAAAGAUCUUUAGAGUGAGUUAUGGGGAGUUUGGGAUCUUGCUUUGAACUUUUGCAGCUCACAGCGCCACCAUUUAAGCAAAAUACAUAACCAAAUUGUGAUCUAAAAUCGUCAUUAUCUUUUUGGAAGCCGGCAUCGGUGUAUCCAAUUACAAUGAGCUCUUCCUCGCCUCCAUAUAUCAAGAAUGAGUCCUUAGUCCUUCUAAAGUACUAAAGGAUAUUAUUGACAGCAACCCAAUGAGCAUCACUUUGAUCAGAUUGGUACCUACUCGUUGCACUUAAAGAAUACGAGACAUCUGGUCGAGUACAUAAGAUGGCAUACAUGAUAUAUCCUAUUGCAAAUGCAUAUUGAAUCUUAUUCAUGCGAUCAUUUUCUUCCUUAGUUAAAGGGGAUUAUGUUUUUGAUAGACACAAGCCAUGUUGCAUAGGUAUGAAUCCUUUCUUGGAAUCAUGCAUAUUAAAGCGUCUCUGCACUUUGUCUAUGCAUGUACUCUGACUUAGGCCAAGCAGUUUUUGUGAUCUAUCUCUAUAGAUCCUAAUUCCUAGUAUAUAGGCUACUUCAUCCAGGUCCUUCAUAGAAAAGUAUUUCCCUAACUAAGUUUUUACUUGUUGCAAGGUAGGGACAUCGUUUCCAAUGAGUAAUAUGUCAUCUACAUAUAAUAUCAGGAAGAUGAUCAUGCUCUCACUAACAUUCUUAUAGACACAAGGUCCAUCUUCAUUUUUGAUGAAUCCAUAUUGUUUUACCAUUUCAUCAAAUUUAAGAUUCUAGCUUUUGGAAGCUUGCUUCAAUUCAGAGAUUGAUCGAUGUAACUUGUAUAUCUUUUAGGCUUCUUCUGGUAUGUCAAAUCCUUCAUAUUGUGUCAUGUACACAUCCUCAAGAAAAUUCCCAUUAAGGAAAGCAGUCUUGACAUCCAUCUUCCAUAUUUCAUAAUCACGAUAUGUAGCGAUAACAAGUAAAAUUCGAAUAGAUUUAAGUAUUGCAACUAGUGAAAAGGUUUCAUCAUAGUCUAUACCAUGAAUCUGCUUAUAUCCCUUAGCAACCAGUCUUGCCUUAUAGGUAUGUACCUUACCAUCCAUGUCAGUCUUCUUUUUAAAGACCCAUUUGCACCCUAUAAGAUUAACUCCUACAAGAGGCUCUACCAAGGUCCAACCCUGGUUUGUGUACAAGGAAUCCAUUUCAGAUUUCAUGGCUUCUAUCCAUUUCUCAGACUCGGGACUAGUGAUAGUCUCUUGGUAGGUCACAGGCUCAUCUUGAUCCAUGAGUAGUAUAUCACCUUGAUCGGUUACGAGAUAACCAUAUCUCUUAAGUUGGUGACGUAUCAUGUUUGACCUACACUAGUCUUAUUCUACUUGAUCAAGUUUCUCUUCCACUACUACUUGUGUUUCCUGCUCCGGUUCCUCCAUAGGUGUAUUAAUGCUUUAUGAUUCUUGAACUUCUUUAAGCUCUACUUUCCUCCCACUGAUUCCUCUGGAAAUAAAGUCCCUUUCCAUGAAUACUCCAGUUCAAGUGACAAACACUUUUCUCUCAGAAGAAUUGUAGAAGUAAUACCCUUUUGUUUCUUUAGGAUACCCCACAAAUAAAUAUUUGUCAGAUCUGGGCUCAAGCUUAAUUGAAAUUUGUCGUUUCACAUAAACUUCACAAUCCAAAAUCUGCAUGUAAGACAUAUGUGGUUUCUUACCACUCCAUAUCUCAUAUGGCGUCUUCUCAACCUUUUUGGAUGGAACACGAUUAAGUGUGUAAGCUUCUAUCAAUAGAGCAUGUCCCCAAAGGGAGUUUGGAAGAUCAGAAUAACUCAUCAUGGAUCUGAUCAUGUCUAACUAGGUUUUAUUUCUUCUUUAAGAUAUACCACUCCAUUAUGGUGUUCCAGGAGGAGUGUGUUGGGAUAGAAUCCCAUGCUCUUUUAGAUGGUCAUCAAACUUUAUGCUUAAAUAUUCACCGCCUCGAUUUGAUCGAGGAGUUUUAAUAUUCUUACUUAGUUGGUUUUGUACUUCAUUCUUGAAUUCCUUGAACUUUUCAAAGGAUUCAGAUUUGUGUUUCAUUAAAUACACAUAACCAUAUCUGCUAAAAUCAUCAGUAAAUGUGAUGAAUUAUUGAAAACCUCAUUUGGAUGGUAUGUUCAAUGGUCCACAUACAUCAGUAUGUAUAAGGGACAAAAGAUCAUUAUCCCUUUCACCUUUUUUCUGUGAAUGGGAACUUUGUCAUCUUUCCAAUUAAAUAAGAUAUGCAUGUAUCAUAUGAUUCGUAAUCAAAAGAGUCAAAGAGUCCAUCUUUAUGGAGUUUAGGAAUGCGAUUAUCAUUUAUAUGGCCUAAGCGACAAUGCUAAAGAUAACUUGGAUUUAACUAAUUAGGUUUCAUCCUUUUAGUAUUAAUGUUAUAAAUUGACAUUUCAAGAUCAAGGACAUACAGUUCAUUGUUCAUUUGUGUAGUGGCAUAUAAUACAUCAUUCAAGUAAAUAUAGCAACAAUUAUCCUUUAUUAUGAAUGAAAAACCAAACUUAUCUAAACAAGAAACAGAAAUAAUAUCCCUGCUAAUUGUAGAUACAUAAUAACAGUUCUCUAACUGAAUUAUUAAACCAGUAGGUAAAGUUAAUACAUAAGUUCUUACGGCUAAAGCAAUAAUCUUUGCUCCAUUGUCAACUCGUAGAUCAACUUCACUUUUUGACAAUUCUCUACUCCUUUUUAGCCCCUGCACAUUAGUACAAAUGUGAGAAGCACAUCCAGUAUCUAAUACCCCUGAGGCAGGAGUAGAUAAAUUUAUUUUUAUAACAAAAAUUCCUGAAGUUGAAGUACCUAAUUCGUUCUUCUUAUCUUCCAGGUACUUUGGACAAUUUCUCUUCCAGUGCCCAGUCUUACCGCAAUAGAAACAAGUGUCCACCUUUGUUAUACCUCCACUAGGCUUCAAAGAAUGAGCAGUAGGUUUGGGUCUAGCAACUUCCUUGACUUUCCCUUUACCACCCUGCUUGGUGGGCCUUUUGUUUUACUUCUUUCCAUUAUUGACCAUCAGAAUGGACUUCUCUUUUUACUUCAAAUUCUACUCAGUAUUUUUUAAUAUGCCUAACAGCUCUAGAAGACUUUUGACCAUAUCAUUCAUGUUGAAAUUAAGGACAAAUUGACUGAAUCUCUUCGGCAACGAUUGCAGGAUCAAAUCAGUCGUAAGCUCUUAUUUUAGGGGAAAAUCCAACCUUUCAAGUUUCUCCACAUACCCAAUCAUCUUGAGUACAUGGUGACCUACUAGGGCUCCCUCAUCUAGAUUUCCAUAAAAAGGAUUUUUAAAACUUCAAAUCUCUCAUAUUUUUCAUGCUCUUGAUAGAGCACUUCAGGUGUUUGAUCGUAUCGAACGUUGCCAUGUUUUCAUGUUGCUUUUACAAUUCAUAAUUCAUGGUAGCCAACAUGAGGCAAGCAGUUUCAUUGCCAUCAUCGACAUGCUUCUUAUAAGCAUCUCUUUCAGCCUUAGGAGCAGAACUAUGAGGCUCCUCUUCAGAAACAAGUGUCUCUAAGACAUACAGUUUUUUUAUCAUGUUUGAGGACAAUCCUCAGCUUUCGGUGUCAAUCCAGAAAAUUUGUCCCAGACAAUUUUUCCUUAUCAAUGGUUGAUCAUAAAAUAUUGAUAGAGGUGUUUGUUGUCAUGGUAAUCUACAUAAAAAAAUGAAAAUAUAAGUAUCAUUAAAAUCAACAUAUUCAAUUAGGCCUUUAAUUAAAUAUGCUCCCACUAUUUUACUCAAAUCAAAUAACCCCCACCAUUUGAUUCAGAAAAUCCUGUUGAAAAUUUUUUUAGUGGAUUGAGAUUCAUAUUUCACUUUGUUUUAAGUCAGCGUUAAGAUGAUUACACAAAAUUAGGUUAUUUAGGUACGAACUUCUUCCAAUUGUAUCUAAUACAAUUCUCGAAUACUAUCAGUUAGGUGAAUAACUCUUUAUUUUAAUUCAUCAUAUGGAUUGCUUCCAACUCUUGCUUCUAAACGUAUAUAAUCUUAUUAUAAUUUGUUUAGUUAAGCUUGACCCAAUAUUUUAGCAAAUGAAUAUUACAUUUAUCUCAUCGCACCUUAAUAAUAUAAAACAUGCACAUCGCGUUAGGCAAAACCUACAUUAUUUGAUACUAAUAUUGAUGAGUGUUAUAAUUUAGAAUGCUUAAACUUAAUAUUUGGUUUAAGGGAAUUGUGAUUAGUUUGAUCAUACCGACUUAUUCAUCAUAUAAAUCGUCUCUCACAUGCAUCAACGUAAAUUCACAUGCAUUAACAUACAUAAACAAAAUAAAACAGCUAUGGCCCCUAGUGGAAUGCUUAAACUUAAUAUUUGAUUUGAGGGAAUUUUGAUUACUUUGAUCUUACUGGCUUAUUUAUCAUAUAAAUCGUCUCUCACAUGCAUCAACAUACAUUCACAUGCAUCAACAUACAUUCACAUGCAUUAACAUACAUAAAUAAAAUGAAACUGUUAUGUCCCCUAGCGCAAUUUUCCUCUCAAGCCGAUGAGAGAACCUAAGCUAAACACAAUAACGACAUACACGCUUCUCCAAGCUAGAUCUCCAUGGUUGUCCUCUUUUGAUAUUGCAUUCUUCUCUUUCUUCAUAACAUUAUAUUACAUAAAAGAAUACUCAUUUUACAUACGAGAGAGUGAGAUGAGAAGAUAAAUUACAUAGGAAGUGUAUAGAGAAAGACACGACACGCAAGUCGUAUUUAAAAUUCUCAAAAAUAAAUAAAUAGAUAAAAAGGACUAAAGUCAUAAUCGGCCGAAAAAGAGAAAAAGUGAGAGAAAAAGAGAAAUUAUGGUCAGGGUUCACCGGCCGAAUUUCAUCAACUAAGAAAGCUUAUACACAAGGGUUGUAUUUAUAGAAUCAGUUGUAUGGGUUGAAGCUAAAAAGUCCAAUUUAAGUGCACCAUAUAAUAAUAAUAAUAAUAAUAAUAAAUAAUGAAUAACUAUUAUUAUAAUAAACAUAUUUUUUUAUUAUUAUAUUUUUAUAAAUAUUAUUAUUAUUAUUAUUAUUAUUAUUAUUAUUAUUAUUAUUAUUAUUAUAUUAAUUAUUAUUAUUAUAUUAUACGAUGUUCCAUAUUUCACUUAAGUACACCUUACCUUGUGGUGUUCCAUAAUUUUCUCAAUUACACUGUACCUUACAAUGUUCCUUAUUUAUUCUAUUUCUCAUCAAUAUGUCCUUAUGUGUAUGACCUUGUAGAUUCUCGUGACGUUGACAAUUAUAUUAAAUUAUAUAUUUAAUAUAGUAAAUUAUGAACGGUAUCUAGCAACACAUCACCGCUACCCAAGUCACGAAAAUGUCAUGUGAUUUGACAACCUUUUCGUGAUAAUAUUAGUGUAUACAAUUACUAUUUUGCCCUCAUGUCUAUAUUGAGCACAAGGCUUUGACUGUGUCACUCUUGUCUAGUUCAAUAUUGGAUCCUUAGACAUUUGUCCUGUUACGCAGAAUGGGAAAAUUUCAUCUAGGUCACUGAUGCCCCUUAACAUACUUUAUAAAGUAUCCAUCAAAUGUCUUUAUGGUCAUCCAGUUAUGGACAAUGUUUAAUCAACAAUAAAGUACCCGACUCCACAUCUAGGGUCCAUAGGAUUUUAGGUCGAAGGGUGGUAUACACCACUAUCACCAUGAGAAUAACUUAUGACACUUUGCAUAGCUUUUUAUGUAGUAUUCUCAUAGUGGGUCAAUCCAAUAUAAAUAUUACUCAUAAUAUCCAUAUACCUAUGUGAAGACUUGAUAACUCUUUAUUUAUGACCCAUGAGAUGUGAUCAUCAUUCUAUCCACAUAAUAGUCUCAAUGUUUUAAUGUUAUCCAACUUCAAAAUAAAGCUCGACUAUGAAUAAUUUAAGAAUAAUAUCUUUAUGUUUAAUAGGAUCUCAUGAUUAAGUCACACUUAUCAUUUUAUUAAAUGGGCUAGCUAUUUUAAAGACUUUAUCAUUUUGAAAAAACAUAAUAAAAAAUAUCUUCUUAAUUAUUAAUAAAUAAAUCGAUACAAGUAUCAAAACUAUUGGCUCUAGGACUUACAUAAAAAAUGUCCAUAUUGUAUCUACAUUCCCCUAUUAAGGAAAAAGAUUGGUUCCUCCUAUUCUUACAUUCUAAUCAAGCAGUUGAAUAUUUGAAUUAGUUCUCCGCUCACAACUUGUCUCAUGGAUCACAUCUAUAAAUAUCCCAACCCCUAGGAUUAGAGGGGAUGUUCACUUUUUACCUAAUUAGAAUCCUAAAGCCCUCGUGCACUCUCUAACACAAUCAAGAUUCACAUUUACGACAAGUACAUUUCUUUUUCAAAUAAGUUCUUAAUUAAUAUCACUAGUAAUGUAUUUAGAUAAAACAUUUUAGUGAGAUAAUGUGAUAUUUUGAGAGAAUUUAAAAUGAUUUGUACAAAAUUUUAUUUGGAUAAAAAAAUAUAAAAAUUUGUUAAAAUGAUGAAAAUCUAUUAAGUAUUUUGCCCAAAUUAAAUUUAAUAAUCUUGAAAUGACACUUAAAAUCAAAAAAAAAAUCUCUCAUACUCUAAAGAAUUUGAAUAACAAAUUGGUUAAUAUUAUUAUUUUUAAUUUUGCAAAUUGAUCCCCAUAUUUUUCAAAAAAUUUCGACUCCUAAAAUUUCCUAAAAAAUUGCAAAUUGGUCUAGAAUAAUUUUCAAAUUGGUCUCUUUAAAUUUUAAAAUUUACAAAUUAGUCAUUUUUAAAAUUUAAAUGUUGACCUAAACAUUUUAAAAUUUUAAUGUUGACCUAAACAUUUUAAAAUUUAUAAAAACUUACUCCAAAAAUCUAACAAUAAUUUAUCCUAAUAUUCUAUCCAAACAAAAUAAUUUAAAAUAAUUUAAAUUACUUAAAAUUUUAAAUUCCUUAAAACAUUCUAAAUGUUUUAGAAUAUAAAAAGUCAAAAUUAUGCACUUCUAUUUACAGAGUAUUUCACUAUCGGAAAAAAUUCAACGAAUACUAGUAUUUAAGAACAUCCGAAAUAUAAAAUACAUAUAUCAACUACACUAUUAAUUUUUAAUAAAAGUAAAAUUAACAAUAUAAUUAUAUAAUUAAGGAAGAAUGUAAUUUUUUUUAUAUUUAAUUCUUAAGAAAAUGAGUAUCUUUAUAUAUUCGAGAUAGUUCUGAUUUCUGUAUGUAGUCCAACUCCCACCGAGUAGUAUUUAUAUUUGCCUUUGACACUAGCAUUCUACUACAGUAUUGAUUACUUGAGUUUGACUUGUAUAGUAGAGUAUUGUGCAAAUCAAGAGAGCUCUGCCUGCCAUAGCUUCCCAGAUUAAAUUUCAACAUAAAUCUCUGCCAAAAUUAAAUGCUUCCUCACUUCCAAUGUUUUCUGUGUACUUAAUACUAUGAACUAGAACCAUUAUAACCUUAUAACUAUACCAUAUAUCUUCAUUUCCUUGAUCACACUCUUCACCAUAUUUUGUAAAGAGACGGCCCUACAACACUUCUACAAAGACAACAAGAUCAUGGAGGCCAAGAAGCAGAGAAUGGCAAUCCAAAUCCAAGCACUCUCACUGAUUAUGCUACUGAUGGCUUCACCUGCUAUGACUUGUCCACCCCUAGAUGGCAGAGGAUGCAAAGACUGCAUUUUUUACCAGAUGAAAACAAGUUGUCCAUCAUGCACACCAAUCCUUCACUGCAUGGCUCGUUGCUUAUGGGAUGGCGGAUUAAAGUACGCAUGUAUCAACAAAUGUAACUGCAAUACUUGCUACCCAAAUCUCUAUGAUUGCAAGAAAUGCAUGUUAAAAUGUAAGUGUAACUGCGGCAACUAGCCCUCUUAGAAAUCACAGUACUUUCUAUUACCCUAGUUACUUGGUUUGGUUCCAAAAUAAUACUACUCUUCACUAUUAUAAGUAAAUGUUUUCUUUUCACAUACAUUGAAUACUUAAUGUCUCUUAUCUACAUCUAGAUCAGAUACAUAAGUUAUUCAAUGAACUUGAAAAUUGAAAAUAGAACUUUUGCUUAUAAUAGUGAUCUGAGACGACCUUAGGAUGUAUGGUAAGCUAUAAACUCAUGCUAUGUAUCAAAGUAGAUAAGCAAAUCCAAAACAGUUGAUGGAUCUUGUACUUGUUUUGAAUUUAUCAUAUAAUUUGAAAAUCAAAUAAGGUUAUCUAAUUUAACUAAUUCAUACCAACACCAAUUUCAUUGUCUUGUAUAUGCUUACGCUAUAACAAGCUCAUCAAGUACAAAGAUUCUUAGAUAGGUAACUAGGUACAUUACAUAACUACUUACAGUUAAGAGAUACUAAUAUUAAUAGCAUACAAAAUAUAAAACAUAGUUAUAAAUUGCAGUUUAGACAUUUUGUCAAACAGUAAGUAUGCAGGUUUAUAUACUAAAUUGGGAAUCAGGGUUCAUGAAGAAACCUUUGUAAGCACCGAAAUCCAAGAUUUUGAGCACAAAACUUCUCCAUAUCAUCACCACCUUUCUCUCUACAAAUACUUUCUUCCAUUUGUUCAAUAACUUGAUCCCAAUUGUUCAACGACCACCAAUCGCAUUCAUCAACUUUUGCUUCCGAAACAGAGUCGAGUAUCUCUUGUAAACCCACGAUCCGACGGGUGACUUUUCUCCUGGCUUCUCUCACGGCUGGAUCGAUUCCGGGAACGGAAUCGAGCUUGAGAAGUAGAUUCAUGAGUGCUUCGUUCAUUUUUAGUUUUUCCAAGUGGUUGUUGCGGAUUAAGUCUACCGUGUCUUGAAGCUGGAUUAGGCGUUGGAGGUGGUCGGCUUCAGAGUCGACGGUGGAGAUUUUGCGAUAGAGGGUGCGGAUGCGGUGGGAUCGGUAGGUGGAUUGGAUGGUGAGGGCGGCGUUGGAUUGGGAUUGGGGAGGGAGUUGAGUGGAAUUUGGGUUUUGGGGAGAGGUAGUAUGGUCAUUGUGGUAGAAGAAGUUGGGGUUGGAAUUGGAAGAGGAUUUCAUUUCAUGGGGAAAAGGGAUGAUUUUGGAGUCAGAGAUUGCAGAGAAUGGCAGCUGAAAACUCAGUUUUGAGAUAGUGGAGUUUGGUGGAAAAUAGGAAAGGACUUUUGUU